GUGCAAAGGUAGCAUAAUAAUUUGUUUUUUAAUUAGAAACUAGAAUGAAUGGUCAAACGAAAUAGCGACUUUAUUUAAAAUAAAAAUUUAAAUUUUAUUUUAAGUGAAAAUACUUAAAUUUUACAAAAAGACGAGAAGACCCUGUAGAAUUUUAUUAUAAUGUUAAAUUUAUGUCUAAAAUAAAUUGAAUUCUUUUUUCGAUAUAAUUUAGUUGGGGCGACGGUAAAAUAUAAUAAACUUUUAAUUUUAAAAACUUAUAAUUAAGAAUAGCUGAUCCUUAAAAAAGAUUAAAUGGUUAAUUACCUCAGGGAUAACAGCGUAAUCUUUCUUAAGAGUUCUAAUCGACAGAAGGGUUUGCGACCUCGAUGUUGAAUUAAA
Molecule: ribosomal RNA, 378 nt
Filed under: Rugilepas pearsei
Lineage: Eukaryota; Metazoa; Arthropoda; Thecostraca; Poecilasmatidae
Description: partial large subunit ribosomal RNA
Rfam family: Bacterial large subunit ribosomal RNA
Source: RNAcentral